CACAAGCAGCGGAGCAUGUAGUUUAAUUCGAAGCAACGCGAAGAACCUUACCAGGUCUUGACAUCCUCUGACAAUCUGAGAGAUCAGACUUUCCUUCGGGAACGGAGAGACAGGUGGUGCAUGGUUGUCGUCAGCUCGUGUCGUGAGAUGUUGGGUUAAGUCCCGCAACGAGCGCAACCCCUAUUGUUAGUUGCCAUCAUUCAGUUGGGCACUCUAGCGAGACUGCCGGUAAUAAACCGGAGGAAGUGGGGAUGACGUCAAAUCAUCAUGCCCCUUAUGACCUGGGCUACACACGUGCUACAAUGGUUGGUACAACGAGUUGCGAGUCGGUGACGGCGAGCUAAUCUCUUAAAGCCAAUCUCAGUUCGGAUUGUAGGCUGCAACUCGCCUACAUGAAGUCGGAAUCGCUAGUAAUCGCGGAUCAGCACGCCGCGGUGAAUACGUUCCCGGGCCUU
RNAcentral lists this ribosomal RNA (455 nucleotides) under uncultured Streptococcus sp. Its description in RNAcentral is "bacterial SSU rRNA". It matches the Rfam family "Bacterial small subunit ribosomal RNA", at positions 924 to 1382 of the family's 1533-position model. Lineage: Bacteria; Bacillati; Bacillota; Bacilli; Lactobacillales; Streptococcaceae. The record is from RNAcentral.